This 363-nucleotide transfer-messenger RNA is filed under the name Escherichia coli. Its description in RNAcentral is "Standard tmRNA". It matches the Rfam family "transfer-messenger RNA". Rfam says of the family: Bacterial tmRNA, also known as 10Sa RNA or SsrA, is named for its dual tRNA and mRNA-like properties. Its role is to liberate the mRNA from a stalled ribosome. RNAcentral also lists the same sequence under 2 other names. Lineage: Bacteria; Pseudomonadati; Pseudomonadota; Gammaproteobacteria; Enterobacterales; Enterobacteriaceae. The record is from RNAcentral.
GGGGCUGAUUCUGGAUUCGACGGGAUUUGCGAAACCCAAGGUGCAUGCCGAGGGGCGGUUGGCCUCGUAAAAAGCCGCAAAAAAUAGUCGCAAACGACGAAAACUACGCUUUAGCAGCUUAAUAACCUGCUUAGAGCCCUCUCUCCCUAGCCUCCGCUCUUAGGACGGGGAUCAAGAGAGGUCAAACCCAAAAGAGAUCGCGUGGAAGCCCUGCCUGGGGUUGAAGCGUUAAAACUUAAUCAGGCUAGUUUGUUAGUGGCGUGUCCGUCCGCAGCUGGCAAGCGAAUGUAAAGAUUGACUAAGCAUGUAGUACCGAGGAUGUAGGAAUUUCGGACGCGGGUUCAACUCCCGCCAGCUCCACCA